GAUGAAGAACGUAGCGAAAUGCGAUAAGUAAUGUGAAUUGCAGAAUUCAGUGAAUCAUCGAAUCUUUGAACGCACCUUGCGCCUUUUGGUAUUCCGAAAGGCACACCUGUUUGAGCGUCAUGAAUACCCCAAUCUCCAUCUUUUCUUCGGAUUGAUGGGGGACUUGGAUGUUGAGCCCUGCUGGUAUGCUAUAUCAGCUGGCUUUAAACUUAUUAGCCGGCUCUGUACUGGAUCGGUUUGACUCGACGUGAUAAUAUUAUCGUUGAGGAUGCAUGUCUCAUGCAGCCGGAAAGUAUCAAAGCAGCUUCUAGCUUGCCUUUAGUGCACUUUUACAUUUUAGACCUCAGAUCAGGUGGGACUACCCGCUGAACUUAAGCAUAUCAAUAAGCGGAGGA
RNAcentral lists this unclassified non-coding RNA (395 nucleotides) under soil metagenome. Its description in RNAcentral is "partial contains 5.8S ribosomal RNA, internal transcribed spacer 2, and large subunit ribosomal RNA". The stretch from base 1 to 120 matches the Rfam family "5.8S ribosomal RNA", at positions 35 to 154 of the family's 154-position model. The record is from RNAcentral.